Molecule: ribosomal RNA, 471 nt
Filed under: Centipeda infelix
Lineage: Bacteria; Bacillati; Bacillota; Negativicutes; Selenomonadales; Selenomonadaceae
Description: bacterial SSU rRNA
Rfam family: Bacterial small subunit ribosomal RNA
Source: RNAcentral
GACGAACGCGGCGGCGUGCUUAACACAUGCAAGUCGAACGGAGCGAAUGAAAGCUUGCUUUUAUGAGCUUAGUGGCAAACGGGUGAGUAACACGUAGACAACCUGCCGACAGGAUGGGGACAACAUUCCGAAAGGAAUGCUAAUACCGAAUGAAGCGGAGGAGAGGCAUCUCUCCUCCGUGAAAGAUGGCCUCUAUUUAUAAGCUAUCACCUGUCGAUGGGUCUGCGUCUGAUUAGCUAGUUGGUGAGGUAACGGCUCACCAAGGCGACGAUCAGUAGCCGGUCUGAGAGGAUGAACGGCCACAUUGGGACUGAGACACGGCCCAGACUCCUACGGGAGGCAGCAGUGGGGAAUCUUCCGCAAUGGGCGCAAGCCUGACGGAGCAACGCCGCGUGAGUGAAGAAGGUCUUCGGAUCGUAAAGCUCUGUUGACGGGGACGAACGUACGGAGUGCGAAUAGUGCUCUGUAAAG